AAAAAAAGUAAUACUAACCAAAUAAAUUAAGAAAAUCUCAAAAAGGAACUAAGAAAAUUAACAUGCACACUUCUGUUAGAAGAACAACAUAAAGAAACACAGUAGAAGAACAACAUAAAGAACACAGUAGAACAUGUUACAAAUCAAAAAAGCUUUGAAAUAAUUUAACAAACCCUAAACAGAAAAGAAAAAGGUUCUGAAGGCAAGGUUUUGAAAGAAACCUUGAGGAAACGUUUAAGACAUUAGAGUAAACACAGAUUUAAAAUGGAUCUAAAAGAAUCGAAAGAACCUCGAAGGUUAGGGUUUCAGAAGAACCCAGAUGGCAACAAAUGUCUUGGAAAUCAUUUGUCUAAAUAAGAGAAGCCAAGAGUUAGGCUUAAAUAGCCAUGGCUAGCUGGAGCAAGGUCGAAGAUGACCGAAAAGAGCCAUAGAACUGAAGCCUCUUCAAGGUCUGGCCUUGAAACCAUAGAACUCGAACACAUUAAGGCCAAGAGAGGUAGAUACAGGCUUCAUAUUGCUUUGGAAGCCAUGGAUUUGGAAGAUUUUCAGGUGGUCGUUGAAGUCGGCGGCUUGGGUUUGAGAGAGAGUUUGAGAGAGAAUUGGAAGAGGG
RNAcentral lists this long non-coding RNA (610 nucleotides) under Nicotiana benthamiana. Its description in RNAcentral is "long non-coding RNA (NBEN_LNC017315)". Lineage: Eukaryota; Viridiplantae; Streptophyta; Magnoliopsida; Solanales; Solanaceae. The record is from RNAcentral.